CAGCAGCCACGGUAAUACGAAGGGGGCUAGCGUUGUUCGGAAUCACUGGGCGUAAAGGGUGCGUAGGCGGAUUCUUAAGUCAGGGGUGAAAUCCCGAGGCUCAACCUCGGAACUGCCUUUGAUACUGGGGAUCUUGAGUCCGGAAGAGGUGAGUGGAACUGCGAGUGUAGAGGUGAAAUUCGUAGAUAUUCGCAAGAACACCGGUGGCGAAGGCGGCUCACUGGUCCGGAACUGACGCUGAGGCACGACAGCGUGGGGAGCAAACAGGAUUAGAUACCCCCGUAGUCCCUGUCUCUUAUAC
This 301-nucleotide ribosomal RNA is filed under the name uncultured bacterium. RNAcentral's name for it is "partial 16S ribosomal RNA". It matches the Rfam family "Bacterial small subunit ribosomal RNA", at positions 509 to 807 of the family's 1533-position model. The record is from RNAcentral.